CAAACAUGAAGCGUAGAACGGUCCCACGCUACUAGCACUUUGGUCAUCCCUAGCGAGAUGUCUUGUUCACUUGGGCUUAUGAGUCGAAUCUAUCGACCAUUCAUCAAUGUUUUCUCUCAUAAUAAAUUAGCCAACAAUACUUUCUGACAUGAUUUAUCAACCAAACAAAACAAAGCUGCAUGCUCUCUCUCCCACAUCCGAUAGAUUUGAGAGGCUACUUCGACGACCGCUGGAGGUGCCCUGAGAUCCGAACCUGUCUAUCUGGUCACCUUCGGCAUUUCCCUCUGCCGUCCGUCUAGUACGUGCCGCAUUGGUUGCUAGAUCUCUCAUCUGAUGCGCCGGCGAUCAAGCUGAACCACAACCUGAGAAGUGAGAACCUAACCGGCGGAGGAGACACGAGGAAUCACUCACUCACCCACCACCGAUCGUGUCAGUAUCAGGCAGUUCACUGGACAGUAGUUCGACGACCGUCAAGUACAGAGGACACGCAGAAAGCCG
This 498-nucleotide long non-coding RNA is filed under the name Sorghum bicolor (sorghum). RNAcentral describes it as "long non-coding RNA (SBIC_LNC016665)". Lineage: Eukaryota; Viridiplantae; Streptophyta; Magnoliopsida; Poales; Poaceae. The record is from RNAcentral.